CUCUCUCUGAUGAUAAGCACUAACUUGCUGGUGAUCUCAACUAACUUCGGCCCUGCAAGAGUCUUCUCUCCUACUUCUUCCCAGCAAACAGGUGUUCGGCACUUCCUCCCAUACAAAGCUUCAUAAGGGGCCAUCCCUAUGCUAGCAUGAUGGCUGUUGUUGUAGGCAAACUCCACCAGAGGUAGAUGCUGCCUCCAAGAACCGCCAAAGUCUAACA
Molecule: long non-coding RNA, 217 nt
Filed under: Manihot esculenta (cassava)
Lineage: Eukaryota; Viridiplantae; Streptophyta; Magnoliopsida; Malpighiales; Euphorbiaceae
Description: long non-coding RNA (MESC_LNC011942)
Source: RNAcentral